GAGAACAUAGAACAAAGAGUUAUGGAACUGAGAGAACAUAGAAAGAUAGAAGAUGGAACUCUCUAGCUCACUGGUGUUGGCUUUAGUCUUGGCUGUGUUGAUGUUGGUCUGGUGGAAGAGGAAGGCAAGUGGACUUAAUUUGCCCCCAGGGCCACUGGCACUGCCACUGAUUGGCAACUUACCAAUCAUGGACAAGCGUGCACCCUUUAAAAGCUUUAUGCAGUGGAGCAAAACCUAUGGGUCUGUGAUGACGGUUUACCUCGGGCCUCAAAGAAUGGUGGUUCUGGUCGGUUAUGAUACAGUGAAAGAGGCUCUAGUGGACCAGGCAGAGCACUUUACAGGCCGAGCACCCGUUCCCUUUCUGAUCAAAGUUCUGAGAGGCUACGGUUUGGUCAUAAGUAAUGGAGAUCGCUGGCGUCAACUGAAGCGGUUCACUCUCACCACACUGAGGGAUUUUGGAAUGGGACGCAAACGAAUGGAACAGUGGAUUCAAGAAGAGAGCAGACAUUUGCUGAAGAGCUUUGAGGAAACCAAAUCAACACCAGUUGACCCAGCCUUCUUCCUGAGCCGGGCUGUGUCCAACGUGAUCUGUUCAUUGGUGUUUGGCCAGCGCUUUGAUUAUGAAGACAAAAACUUCCUGCACUUGCUCCAGAUCAUCUCCAGGCUCCUGCGCUUUAUCAGCAGCCCUUGGGGUCAGUUGUACAACAUCUUUCCUAAACUAAUGCAACUCUUGCCUGGUAGACAUCAUGCCAUGUUUAAAGAGACAGAAGACAUCAAAGCCUUCAUCUUGAAAAAAAUCAAGGAACAUGAGCAAAAUUUGGACUUCAGUGACCCAAAGGACUUUAUUGACUGCUUUUUUAUUAAACUCAAACAGGAGAAACACAAUCCUGACACAGAAUUCCACAAGGAUAACAUGUUGGGGACCGUUUUGAAUCUGUUCAUAGCUGGUACAGAGACCACCAGCACAACUCUCAGAUAUGCCCUGAUGCUUCUUAUCAAGCACACCCACAUACAGGAGCAAAUGCAGAGGGAGAUUGACAGAGUUAUUGGACAGAACAGAGUCCCUACAAUGGAUGACAGGAAGUCCCUCCCCUUCACUGAUGCUGUGAUUCAUGAAGUACAGCGCUAUCUGGACAUUAUCCCACUAAAUGUUCCCCAUUACGCCACACAUGACAUCUCAUUUAGAGGUUACAUAAUACCAAAGGACACAGGUAAUUAUUCCCAUGUUGCAUUCUGUCCUAAGGGAUGAGGAACAGUGGGAAACCCCUUGGACAUUUAACCCAGAGCACUUUCUGGAUGACAACGGCAACUUUAAAAAGAAUCCAGCAUUUAUUCCCUUUUCUGCAGGUAAACGCUCUUGUGUAGGUGAGUCUUUGGCUCGUAUGGAGCUCUUUCUGUUCAUCGUGUCUCUGCUGCAGAAAUUCAGCUUUAGCAGUCCAAAGGGUCCGGAUGGAGUAGACACCAGUCCUGAACUUAGCAGCUUUGGCAACAUGCCUCGAUUCUAUGAUCUUAUUGCAUCCCCCCGCUGAGAAACAGAGAUAUUGCACCUUGUCUCAUUUUACAAAAAUGUGGACGAAAAAGCAGUCUUUCAUUCAAGACUCACAUUAAUGCCAUAGUUCAGUAGUUCUCAAAUUUUCAAGUAAGCCUUUGACCAAAUCAGAGCACCAAGUACUACUUAUUAAUAACCAAGUCUCUUUGAGCGCAAGCAUAAGAAGAUUGAAGAAACACUGACAAUUAUAAGGAAGCCAUCCAAGCAAAAUUUCAGGCCGCCUAUCUCUGGGUCAUCCUGCAUUGCCAGGGAAAGCAAAAUUGAAUUACUGCUGUGUAUGAAAUAUGUUGUAUAUAUAAACGUUUUGUGCCUUAAAAGUUAAUGAGAUAAAAACUGGUUCCUGCAAAAUAAUAUAUUUCCGCAUAAACUCACAGCAUAAACAGGUAAUUUACUCAGCUGGUCAUUUA
Cyprinus carpio (common carp) is the source of this 1956-nucleotide RNA transcript. It is a transcript of the gene named cytochrome P450 2G1-like, with no coding region annotated. The record is from RefSeq and is a predicted model, not a curated record. The transcript is spliced from 9 exons. NCBI's taxonomy places the organism in Eukaryota, Metazoa, Chordata, Actinopteri, Cypriniformes, Cyprinidae.